AUUGAACGCUGGCGGCAGGCUUAACACAUGCAAGUCGAGCGGAGAUGAGGUGCUUGCACCUUAUCUUAGCGGCGGACGGGUGAGUAAUGCUUAGGAAUCUGCCUAUUAGUGGGGGACAACAUUCCGAAAGGAAUGCUAAUACCGCAUACGUCCUACGGGAGAAAGCAGGGGAUCUUCGGACCUUGCGCUAAUAGAUGAGCCUAAGUCGGAUUAGCUAGUUGGUGGGGUAAAGGCCUACCAAGGCGACGAUCUGUAGCGGGUCUGAGAGGAUGAUCCGCCACACUGGGACUGAGACACGGCCCAGACUCCUACGGGAGGCAGCAGUGGGGAAUAUUGGACAAUGGGGGGAACCCUGAUCCAGCCAUGCCGCGUGUGUGAAGAAGGCCUUAUGGUUGUAAAGCACUUUAAGCGAGGAGGAGGCUACUGAGACUAAUACUCUUGGAUAGUGGACGUUACUCGCAGAAUAAGCACCGGCUAACUCUGUGC
This 486-nucleotide ribosomal RNA is filed under the name uncultured bacterium. RNAcentral describes it as "bacterial SSU rRNA". It matches the Rfam family "Bacterial small subunit ribosomal RNA", at positions 30 to 508 of the family's 1533-position model. The record is from RNAcentral.